UGCUCUCAUAUAGUACCCUAAAAAUAAAAAAUUGGUAUACAAAUUUCGGAUGGGGUACCUAGGGAUGGGGUACCUGUCCCACCCUAAAACCUACCAAACAUAUAUUUAGACCAAUCACGACAAUAUGGGACUCAAAUGAAAGUUCCAUGUAGCCAUAAUCGUCUAAUACGCCCAUUUGGAGGUGGGGCGACCCCCCUUACUUGGAUUUGAUUUUUAUGAAACCCAUAUUGACAUGCACUCCAAUGUGUCUGUUUAGAGGAGUUUUAGGGUUGGAGCGUCCCCCUGGGUAAUUAAACCCAAGUUUUGAUAUUUAUUUAUUUAUUUUAUUUCAUGCAAUGCGAAGCCAUUUAGCCUAUAAACAAUCACACUAUGUAUACGACGUACUUUUUCAAACAUAAAUUAAAAAACUACUCAAUUAAAAAUAAAAAACUUAGAAAAUGGAAAAAA
This is a long non-coding RNA of Stomoxys calcitrans (stable fly), 447 nucleotides long. RefSeq lists it as uncharacterized. NCBI's taxonomy places the organism in Eukaryota, Metazoa, Arthropoda, Insecta, Diptera, Muscidae. The transcript has 2 exons. The record is from RefSeq and is a predicted model, not a curated record.